GAUGAACGCUGGCGGCGUGCCUAAUACAUGCAAGUCGAGCGAACAGAUGAGGAGCUUGCUCCUCUGACGUUAGCGGCGGACGGGUGAGUAACACGUGGAUAACCUACCUAUAAGACUUGGAUAACUUCGGGAAACCGGAGCUAAUACCGGAUAAUAUAUUGAACCGCAUGGUUCAAUAGUGAAAGACGGUUUUGCUGUCACUUAUAGAUGGAUCCGCGCCGCAUUAGCUAGUUGGUAAGGUAACGGCUUACCAAGGCAACGAUGCGUACCCGACCUGAGAGGGUGACCGGCCAAACUGGAACGGAGACCGGGUCCAGACCCCUACGGGAGGCAGAAGUAGGGAAUAUUCCGCAAUGGGGGAAAGCCUGACGGAGCAACGCGGCGGGAGUGAUGAAGGUCUUCGGAUCGUAAAACCCUGUUAUUAGGGAAGAACAAAUGUGUAAGUAACUAUGCACGUCUUGACGGUACCUAAGAAGAAAGCCCCGGCUACCUACGU
RNAcentral lists this ribosomal RNA (496 nucleotides) under uncultured bacterium. Its description in RNAcentral is "partial 16S ribosomal RNA". It matches the Rfam family "Bacterial small subunit ribosomal RNA", at positions 28 to 506 of the family's 1533-position model. The record is from RNAcentral.